Molecule: non-coding RNA, 196 nt
Filed under: Syntrophomonas wolfei
Lineage: Bacteria; Bacillati; Bacillota; Clostridia; Eubacteriales; Syntrophomonadaceae
Description: T-box sequence
Rfam family: T-box leader
About the family: Uncharged tRNA acts as the effector for transcription antitermination of genes in the T-box leader family.
Source: RNAcentral
CAGCUGUUGAUGAAAGGGAAAAGUAAAGAUUGCCAACUGGUAAAGAGAGUUGGUGGAAGCUGCGAACCAGCCCAGUGCAAUUUUGAAUCCAACCUGGAAACGAUCUAUAUAAGCGGUGGUUCCGUUAUAACCUUCAAGCGGGUGUUAUAAACACCAACAAGGGUGGCAACGCGGGAAAAUACCUCUCGUCCCUGAU